RNAcentral lists this long non-coding RNA (1113 nucleotides) under Strigops habroptila (Kakapo). RNAcentral describes it as "lncRNA (ENSSHBG00005010969.1)". Lineage: Eukaryota; Metazoa; Chordata; Aves; Psittaciformes; Psittacidae. The record is from RNAcentral.
UCUUUUUUCUUUUUUUCCUAGGAAGCAGAAAUACCCCUUGUCCUAUGGAAAGUUCACUUUUGUACCAAACAAGCAAAGCUGGGCUGGUCCACCAUCUAAAAGAUCCUCCAGGCUGUCUGACACUCAUUUUAUUAUAUUCUGCACUUUCACUGCAUUCCAUCCCACAGGCUAUUGACAAUUAUAUGAAUUGCAGCCAGUCACUAUUUUAAUUCUAAGUCAGAUGCAACAUUUCCAUGACUGCUUGCUAAUGCUCUAUUUAAUCUUUUUCCUUUUUUUUUUUUUUUUAAUUUGGAGUGUAAAGUAAGUAGACUGAAUAACUUGUAAUCACCACCAGAAUGAUCUUUAACAACAGGAAGACUUUAAAGAUUAUUCUGUUACAUGUACUUUAAAUCAUGGUAAAUGGUCACCAUUACAGCAUCAGAAAACCCUUUCAUUAACAAGCUUAUGAGACACACCACAGGACUGUAUAUUUUAAGUCAUGUUAUACUCAUUGAAUCCGUGGGAAUUUUGUCAUGAGCUUUCAGGUACUUUUGCAAAUUUCAUUCAUUUUCUGUUUACGUUGUUCAGUAAGUAGCCUCAGAAAUCUGCCCCAUCAGACCUGCUUUUCUUUUUAUUGAGUCCGGUGGAAAUUUGCCUACUAACUGGGGCAAGUCUGGGAUGAAUAGAAAGAAUAGCUGUCUCAGUGUGAGCCACACAUUAGACGCAGGAGGUCAAUUAAGUCAGAAAAUAGUUUUCUGUGUUUUAGAAGUUACCACAGAAAUGUUACCAAUGGCAAUUUUAAAGGGGUAAAUAUACUUUGAGAAAUCAAGAAAUUAGGAUAUUGCAGUUUUUUAACUGCAGGUUUAUGUACUGGGCAGAUAGUACAGAAGAGUAACAUUGUUUGCCUCAUUUUUUCCCCUUAGUCUAAAUUUAUACAAUAAAUAUUAAAUUCUUUUUAGUGUGAUGUGUAGUUAUGCCUUGUGUCUUCUACAAAGCUAAGCAACUUCUAUAAAUUAUAGUGUUGGCUGUCAAUUGCAGUGUAUUUACCGUAUACCUAAUUCUUGAAAGAGUGGAACAACAUGUAUUUUGUCAUAAAAGGUUACAAUAAAACAAUAACAGUAGAUAUCACAAAUG